Molecule: long non-coding RNA, 1810 nt
Filed under: Gossypium raimondii (Peruvian cotton)
Lineage: Eukaryota; Viridiplantae; Streptophyta; Magnoliopsida; Malvales; Malvaceae
Description: long non-coding RNA (GRAI_LNC007475)
Source: RNAcentral
CGGGCAUCAAUAGAGUUUUUUUUGUUGCAUUGAAAGAUAACGAAAUUUCGCAAAACAAAGUGACAAACAAUAAUCUUUCCUAAAACGUCACUUUCAACAAUAAAAACCUGACUUAAGAAUAGAUGGUUAAUGAGUGAAUGAUUUGCAAAUUAACUCAAGAGCAAACUUCGAUUUUCCUUAAAAGAGAGUAACUAAGGUUUUCAAAGAAUGGUCGGGCCAUUUGGUCACAUUGGUGGCUAAUGUAGUCUUCACGAUUCGGCCAUAAUGUUUAGGCUGGGUUGAGGAGGUUACAAACUUAAUUUCAUCUAUAGAGACCUCCUUACCCAAAAAUAGAACAUUACUGUGAUCAAGCCUUGGGAACAUACUAGACAGUAAAUCUCUGAUUCUAACUGGUUGCUCACCAUACAAUUUCUUGAAUCAUCUAACCGACCCAAAUUGAAGAUCAACUUCUUCAAAGAUCCACUCUCCUUCCUCAAUUUUCAAGGUAAUGAUUCGAUUAUAUUUCCUUUUCUACAGUGUAAGCCUAUGAAAAAAAUUGGUGUUACGGUCCCCCAAAGCCAACCAAUCACAUCUAGGUUUCUGUUUCCACAAUAAUUCGUCAUGAUGGAGAACCUCUUCUAAUUCCUCUCUCACCCUCAUUUCCAACUGAGCUGAAUGGUCAGUACCUGAAUUUUUCAUCGCCCGUUAAUACUAGAAAGUUUCCGUAUCAAAUGUCUUUUCCAGAUACUAAUAUGACCAUAAACGAAUUUAUUCCAGGAAUUAAUAUUAGAAAUAAUUUGAUCAAGUGAUUUAGACAUGCUCCCAUUAAAUCUCCAAUUAUCUUUGACAAAAUCAACAAAACUCGGAUGUUCAACCCACCCUACUAGAAAUCUAAAGGGUCGACCUCUAGCUGAUGCAAAACUUGGAUAGCCAAUUUUAACCCUUCCCAAAGUUUCUUCCUUUUUUGUCUAUCCGAACUACCAUAAAUGAAAGCAACAUAGAUUGGAUGAUCAUACGAAAUAUCAAUUACCCAGAUAAUAAUAAAUUGGGGAUGAUUACAAACCACCUCCACUUGAACCAAGUCUUUCCAAGCUAUCCAAAUACCUCUAGAAAAACCAUCAACCUCCACCCGGUGAGAAUACUGGAAACCCAAUUUAGCUGACUUUAUCUACUUUAACACCACUAACUCCUAUUUCUAGUAAACUCACAAUAUCAAACUUGAACUCUGCAUUAUACUCUUAAAAAAUGUGAAGGAACUUAACACUGGCACACCCCUGACAAUUCCAUGAAAAUAUAGGCAAAUUCAUGUUCAUAAUUUAAAGAAAAAAUAAAUGAACUAACCAUUUACUGCUCGAAGAUUCCCGACUCAUCAACCCACAUGCCAUUCACGCUUGGAUUAGCUUUAUCCAAUUCCUUCUCAAGUUAAUAAUUAAUUAAUUCAACCAUGGAGUUUAUUGUAUCAGAAAGAGGUACACGAGCAGAACCAACUAACUUAAAACGAUCUCUACAUUCCCUGAUAAUCCUAUUUAACUUCCUUUCAUUACGGUUGGACUCAGAUUUUCCAUUAUAUCCACACCCCUUAUUACUAUGCUUAACCUGAAUCCCCCCCCCCCCCCAAAAGUAACGCUUCUUGUGUUACCAAUAUUAUGGUGACAUAAUUCUCCUUAAAGGUGAUGACAAAAUGCUUUCCUAGUUCUAAAACAUCUAGACUAAUAGAAAAAAAAGUUCAAAUACUUCAACAAAAAUAAGAUUAAACUGUGUAGCUGAACCUACCGGAAUAAAGGCUUCUAGACCACUCAUACCGAAAGAAGACACAUUACAAUCAUUGAGG